RNAcentral lists this ribosomal RNA (401 nucleotides) under uncultured Alphaproteobacteria bacterium. Its description in RNAcentral is "bacterial SSU rRNA". It matches the Rfam family "Bacterial small subunit ribosomal RNA", at positions 9 to 425 of the family's 1533-position model. The record is from RNAcentral. Lineage: Bacteria; Pseudomonadati; Pseudomonadota; Alphaproteobacteria.
GAGUUUGAUUCUGGCUCAGAACGAACGCUGGCGGCAGGCCUAACACAUGCAAGUCGAGCGCACCUUCGGGUGAGCGGCGGACGGGUUAGUAACGCGUGGGAACGUACCCAGAUCUAAGGAAUAGCCACUGGAAACGGUGAAUAAAAAAGAUAAAAACCCUUCGGGGGAAAGAUUUAUCGGAUUUGGAUCGGCCCGCGUUAGAUUAGAUAGUUGGAGGGGUAACGGGCCUACCAAGUCUACGAUCUAUAGCUGGUUUUUAGAGGGAUGAUCAGCAAACACUGGGGACUGAGACACGGCCCCAGACCUCCUACGGGGAGGCAGCAGUGGGGGAAUCUUGGAACAAUGGGGCGCAAGCCUGGAUCCAGCCCUGGCCCGGUGAGUAAUGAAGGCCCUAGGGGUCC